AUGGAGAAAUAUUUAUUGAUCAGCAUAAUUAUAUCAGGUGUGUUUUCUGACAGUAUUGGACCAAAUGAAGCAGAUAAGAGUAUAACCAGGAAAGAAGAAGAGUCUGUGACAUUGAGAUGCUCAUAUGAUACAAGCAGCAGUAAUAUCUUACUUUACUGGUACAGACAGUAUACAAACCGAGAACCUGAGUAUUUAUUGUAUGAAGGUGUUCGAUCAUACAGCGGAGCUGCUGAUACACGAGAUAGUCGGUUUCAGUCGGCUACAUCCCAAACUACCACUGAACUCACUAUUAAGAGUGCAACUCUGUCAGAUUCAGCUCACUAUUACUGUGCUCUACGAGUAGUAGCCCAGUGA
This is a non-coding RNA of Labeo rohita (rohu), 354 nucleotides long. Lineage: Eukaryota; Metazoa; Chordata; Actinopteri; Cypriniformes; Cyprinidae. The record is from the annotation of a RefSeq genome assembly.